This 806-nucleotide small RNA is filed under the name Pan troglodytes (chimpanzee). Its description in RNAcentral is "retained intron". The record is from RNAcentral. Lineage: Eukaryota; Metazoa; Chordata; Mammalia; Primates; Hominidae.
CAGCUACCCCAACUCAAGGGAGGCUGGGGAUUUAGUCUCUCGCUGGGCAGCCAUGUACUCAGAACUUUGUGGGAGGGGGUGCCUCCUUUGGGUAAGGUGGUUGAGCAGUGACCUCCUGACGGUUUCCUGACCCUUGGUCUUGACUUGCCCUGUAGCAGCCAACUCCAAACAGCCGAUUCACAUGGUCUACGUCCCCUCCCACCUCUACCACAUGCUCUUUGAGCUCUUCAAGAAUGCCAUGAGGGCGACUGUGGAAAGCCAUGAGUCCAGCCUCAUUCUCCCACCCAUCAAGGUCAUGGUGGCCUUGGGCGAGGAAGAUCUGUCCAUCAAGAUGAGUGACCGAGGUGGGGGUGUUCCCUUGAGGAAGAUUGAGCGACUCUUCAGCUACAUGUACUCCACAGCACCCACCCCCCAGCCUGGCACUGGGGGAACGCCGCUGGCUGGCUUUGGUUAUGGGCUCCCCAUUUCCCGCCUCUACGCCAAGUACUUCCAGGGAGACCUGCAGCUCUUCUCCAUGGAAGGCUUUGGGACCGAUGCUGUCAUCUAUCUCAAGGCCCUGUCCACGGACUCGGUGGAGCGCCUGCCUGUCUACAACAAGUCAGCCUGGCGCCACUACCAGACCAUCCAGGAGGCCGGCGACUGGUGUGUGCCCAGCACGGAGCCCAAGAACACGUCCACGUACCGCGUCAGCUAAGGGCCGCCGCGCAUCUGCACCUGAGAGGACGGACUGCCGCCUCUGGGUCCCCCCACCGUGGUGCCCCUCACCAUCCUCCUGGGGGAGCAGGGGGUGGGUUCUCCCUGAUGAC